RNAcentral lists this ribosomal RNA (131 nucleotides) under uncultured bacterium. RNAcentral's name for it is "partial 23S ribosomal RNA". It matches the Rfam family "Bacterial large subunit ribosomal RNA", at positions 1 to 131 of the family's 2925-position model. The record is from RNAcentral.
UUCAAGUCUUUAAGAGCAAACGGUGGAUGCCUUGGCAUCUGGAGCCGAAGAAGGACGUAGCAAUCUGCGAUAAGCCUCGGGGAAUUGAUAAGCGAGUUUUGAUCCGAGGAUUUCCGAAUGGGGAAACCCGG